RNAcentral lists this ribosomal RNA (126 nucleotides) under Paenibacillus jilunlii. RNAcentral describes it as "partial 23S ribosomal RNA". It matches the Rfam family "Bacterial large subunit ribosomal RNA", at positions 2794 to 2925 of the family's 2925-position model. The record is from RNAcentral. Lineage: Bacteria; Bacillati; Bacillota; Bacilli; Caryophanales; Paenibacillaceae.
CCCCCUCAAGAUGAGAUUUCCCAGUAUGUAAGACCCCUUGAAGACGACGAGGUAGAUAGGUUGGAGGUGGAAGCACGGCAACGUGUGGAGCUGACCAAUACUAAUCGGUCGAGGGCUUAUCCAAAA